This 499-nucleotide ribosomal RNA is filed under the name uncultured bacterium. RNAcentral's name for it is "partial 16S ribosomal RNA". It matches the Rfam family "Bacterial small subunit ribosomal RNA", at positions 28 to 507 of the family's 1533-position model. The record is from RNAcentral.
GACGAACGCUGGCGGCGUGCUUAACACAUGCAAGUCGAACGGGCCCGCUCUCUUUUUUGGGGGUGGGUUGAGUGGCGAACGGGUGAGUAUCACGUGAGUAACCUGCCCCCUGCUCCUGGAUAACUGCUUGAAAGGGCGGCUAAUACGGGGUGUGCCGGCUGGUCCGCAUGGGCCUGGUCGGGAUAGUUUCAUCUUCGGGUGUUUCGGUGGGGGAUGGGCUCGCGGCCUAUCAGCUUGUUGGUGGGGUGAUGGCCCACCAAGGCGGUGACGGGUAGCCGGCCUGAGAGGGUGGGCGGCCACACUGGGACUGAGACACGGCCCAGACUCCUGCGGGAGGCAGCAGUGGGGGGCAUUGCGCAAUGGGCGGAAGCCUGAUGCAGCGACGGCGCGUGAGGGAUGGAGGCCUUCGGGUUGUGAACCUCUUUCUCCGGUGGUGAAGGCCCUGUCCGUUGCGGCGGGGUUGACGGUAGCCGGGUAUGAAGCGCCGGCUAACUACGUG